This 21682-nucleotide long non-coding RNA is filed under the name Triticum aestivum (bread wheat). RNAcentral's name for it is "long non-coding RNA (TAES_LNC010966)". The record is from RNAcentral. Lineage: Eukaryota; Viridiplantae; Streptophyta; Magnoliopsida; Poales; Poaceae.
GGGGGACGAUUCUCUCUCACACUCGGUCUGGCUAGCUGCUGGGGUGUACUGUAGCAAUCAGCGCUCCCGAGCAAGAACUCAAUACAACCACAAAGCAGGAGUAGGGUUUUACGCAUCCGUGCGGCCCGAACCUGGGUAAACCGAUCGCGUUGCUCAUGCGCUUUGCCUCGAUCUGCUCUUCGUGAACUCUCCGCCCCCCUGCCGAACCGAAAGGGGCCUCGGUCCGCCGUGGUCCCAUAGGUGUUCGUGGGAUCAGCACCCCCGACAUCUUUGGCGCGCCAGGUAGGGGGUGCGUCGAGGUUGUGUGAAUCUGAUCCGGCGUUCGCACGAGCCGAAUCUUCAUCAUCUUCAUCAACAUGCCGCCGAAGAAGAAGGCUUCGGAGGCAGCUGCUCCGUCCGCGCCGAGCCCACCACCGCAAGGGCGAACGGCUGGUGGAGUAGACGCCGGCGGGAGAACGGGCGCCGACGAGGAGGCCCAUGGUGCUGCCAGGUCCAAGGACAAGACUGCGCUGCACAUCGGCGGCGCAGUCGACUCCCACAACGACCGAGCGCACUCCAAGACCUCGGCGUCCGUACACGCACUGCGCCCAUCUCAGGAGGCGCGGGACCAGCAACGUCAUGGUACUCACGGUACCAUACGUUUGCUGGGCGAAGAUCAAGCUGGCGGAUCCCGGAGUCCUCAAGACCAGCAUGCACGCCAACGUGCUGGCGCGAGCGGGGCACGGUCGCCUGGACAAGAUACUGCUCCUUCUAACGUAGUUAGAAGUCCGAGCAUAUCCCGUUCAUCGCGCCGUUCGCCGCCACCGCCCGCCACUCCGGCAGAAGCUUUGGCACGAGCUCAACUGCUCCUAAAUUACCCUCCAGUGCCAAAGAAGAUCGAUGACUGGAGGGCCACUAUCCAGAGCCUCAUCGGCUUCGCCAACGGCGACAACCCACGGAAGCCGAGCGCAUCGCAACCGCGGCAAGUCAGUCAGGCGCGAGCCGGUGGCGACAAGACCGGGGAGGGUGCAACCACUGUGCACUCUCCGCCUCGGAGGCCAAGAUCGCCGACUCGUCGGAUCCACCACGACAGCGAUUCCACCGCGUCAUCAGAUCCGCGAGCUUGUCACGAUCAGCGCCAAGUUCUCCACGAACGACAGCAAGAAGACGCUCGAACAUGCAUCGAGCGCCGAAGAGAAGCGCGGCGUCAAUCAGACCUGCACGCUGGGCCCUCUGUCGAUAUGCAUGCGCCAGGGGAACCAGGUGACUUGCCGUACGCGGUAGGUUGCCCUGCGUUUACACGUGAGCUGCGGCAAGUCCAGUGGCCCAGCCAGAAGAACUUCAAGCCAGACGUACCGGAGAAGUACGACGGCGAGUCGCACCCAUCAGAGUUCCUCAGCAUCUACACCAUUGCGGUGCAAGCCGCCGGGGGGCGAGACGAAAAGGUUCUUGCCAACUACUUCCCGCUGGUGCUCAAGCCCGAAGUCAUGUCCUGGCUCAUGCACUUGCCGGACAACUCCAUAUCCUCUUGGGCGGACUUGUGCCAUUAGUUUGUCGGUGCCUUUACAGGCGGCCACAAACCUCAUGGCCAGGAAAGUGAUCUUCACUUGCUCGCCCAGAGGGAAGGAGAGCCCCUGCGCAAGUAUAUCCAGAGAUUCAGCCGUGUACAGUGCAACAUCCCAGAUAUCCAUCCUGCCGCGGUUAUCAGUGCGUUUCAUCAGAACGUGCGUAAUCGCAGGAUGCGGGAGGAGAUGGCGAUGAGCAGGAUCAGAGACGUUAGUGAGCUAUAUGCCCUGGCCGACAAGUGCGCACGCGCUGAGGAAGGGAGGAAACUCCUCGGAGAAACUACAGGAGCAGGAGGAUCUGACAGUGAGGAUGCCACCCCGGCAAAGAAAAACCGGCGGCGCAACAGGAAGAAGAAGGGUAAAGAGGUGCUUGUCAUUGAGCAGUCCGGCAACGACGGUGGCGCCAAGCAAGUCAAAGUUGGUAGCUCCGGCAAGGAGGUUGCCGCAUGCACCAACUGCCAGGCUAUGGCAGCUGCCGACAAGCAGGACGGCACCGACAAGCAGUAUUGCAAGAUCCACCGCACCAAGGGCCAUGACCUCCAGAGCUGCAAGAAAGUCGAGCAGCUUGUCCAGCAACAAAAAGCUGAGUAUGAGCGGCGCGACAAGGAGAGGGCCCAAGGAGGCGGUGGAGAGCCCGGUAAGAAACGCGCCGGCCGGGGAGGACGCCGCGGCAAGGCCAAGCAGUGGCAAGGAGACAGACCUCCCCGCGGCCGCGACAAGGAUGAAGACGAAGACGACGAUGAAGACAUGGAUGAUGUUGAGAACAGUGAGCAGGAGUUUCAGAAAGCUACAGAAGUCUUGUGUGUUGACGGCAGUGCUUCUCUGCAUACUUCCCGCCGCCAACUCAAACAGUGGCUACGGGAAGUUAAUGCAGCAAAGCCACCUGUCGAAUCGCACAAGCUUCUGAAAUGGUCCAGCACGCCUAUCAUCUUUGACAUUGAGGACCACCCUGAUCGCACAACUGCGGUCGGGUGCUUGCCGCUGUUGGUUUCGCCAACCAUCCGCAACCUCAAGGUCACAAAGAUGCUAGUUGACGGCGGGGCCGGCUUGAACCUGAUCUCCUCCGUUAUACUCCAGAAACUCCAGAUCCCUGACAGCGAGCUCAAAGAGACCGACACAUUCCAAGGAAUUAACCCGGGAAGGAGCAAGCCGAAAGGGAAGGUCACGUUGCCGGUCACAUUUGGCAGCGAGCUGAAUUUCAGGACUGAGAGGGUCACUUUUGACGUUGCCGAUUUUCCAUUGCCUUACAAUGGGAUACUUGGCCGUCCAGCACUCGCCAAGUUCAUGGCAGCCUCUCACUAUGCAUAUAACAUGCUCAAGAUGCCAGGCCCGAUAAGCAUCAUCUCUGUCCCUGGCAACAAGAAAGACGCUCUUAUCUGCGCUGACAAGAUCUACCGGGAAGCAGUAGCCGUAACAGAUAGCAAGAUACUUGCCGCUGAAGCUCCCGGGGGGAAGAAGAAGACCAAGUCCGGCAAGAGCUCUGAUGCCCACUCCAGCAAGUGCACCUCCUCGGAGUGCUGCGCUGCCGUCGAGGAAGCACCAUCGAGCUCCACCGGCAAGUGUAAGAAGGCAAUGGCAGCUCCACCACAUACCAAGAAGGUGUCCGCCAAGGAGGACGGCACUGGUGGUACCUUCACCAUCAGUGCCACGCUUGACCCUAAAUAGGAAAGCGCGCUCGUUACUUUCCUACGGGCGAACGUCGACGUGUUUGCAUGGCAGCGUCUGACAUCCCUGGUGUUCCCAGGAAAGUAAUUGAGCACCAUCUUGCCGUUUGUCCUCAUGCGCGGCCCGUCAAGCAGAAGGUCAGGAAACAAGCAGUGGAGCACCAAGAAUUCAUAGCAGAAGAAAUCAAGAAAUUGGAAGCAGCAGGCCUUGUCAGAGGAGUGCUCCAUCCCACGUGGCUGGCCAAUCCUGUAGCCGUGCGCAAGGCGAAUGGAAAAUGGAGGCUUUGUAUUGACUUUACUGAUGUUAAUAAAGCUUGUCCCAAAGACCCAUUUUCUUUGCCGCGCAUUGACCAGAUUGUUGACUCCAUAGCCGGAUGUGAUUUUCUUUCAUUUCUUGACGCAUAUUCAGGAUACCAUCAGAUCUUGAUGGCAGAAGAGGAUGAGGAGAAAACAGCAUUCAUUACUCCAUGUGGCACGUACUGUUUCAUAUGGAUGCCCUUCAGAUUAAAGAAUGCUGGUUCAACAUUUGCAAGAGUAGUCCAUGUCGCUCUGAAACCGAAAAUUCACAGAAAUGUAGAAGUUUACAUGGAUGACAUAGUGGUCAAGAGCAAAGACAGGGCAACUCUGAUUCAAGAUUUGGAAGAAACCUUUGCAAAUCUGCGCAAGAUCAACCUCAAGCUCAACCCCGAGAAGUGUGUGUUUGGAGUCCCUUCUGGCAAGCUUCUCGGGUUCUUUGUGUCUCAGCGGGGAAUUGAAGCCAAUCCCGACAAGAUCAAGGCCAUCGAGCAGAUCGAAGCACCGAAGCGCGUCAAGGAUGUACGAAAACUUGCCGGCUGCGUGGCUGCUCUCAGCAGGUUUAUCUCUCGGUCUGCUGAGCGCGCCCUGCCGUUUUUCAAAAUUUUGAAAAAGGCAGGUCCAAUGAAAUGGACUCCGGAAGCGGAGGCUGCGCUGCAGGACUUGAAGAGAUACCUGUCCUCCACCCCAACACUUGUCACACCUAAGCCACAAGAGAAGUUGCUGCUAUAUAUAGCGGCAACCAAUCAAGUGGUUAGUGCUGCGUUAGUGGCGGAGAGGAAGGCUGAUGACGAGCCAGCAAUCGCGGCAAGCGCAUCCUGCGACAAGUAGGGGGCUUCCCUGACAAGCUCUGGUCCCGACAAGGAUGGAUCUGCACAGGCAUGCGAAGAGGUGCAAAAGAGAAUGGUGCAGCGCCCAGUCUACUUUGUCAGUUCCCAUCUGCAGGGGGCUAGGUCAAGGUAUUCUGGUGUGCGGAAGUUGCUUUUCGGCCUUCUUAUGGCCUCGAGGAAGCUGCGCCAUUACUUCCAGGCACAUGAGAUCACAGUUGUCACUCGCUUUCCGCUGAAGAGGAUACUGCAGAAUCCAGAAGCGACAGGCAGGAUUGUCGAGUGGGCAUUGGAACUGUCAAGUUUUGGCCUCAACUUUGAGAGUACUUCAACUAUCCAAAGCAGAGAAUUGGCAGAAUUCAUAGCAAAGUGGACGCCAACACCAGACGAAGAAAUUACGGAGACGAGCAUCCCCGCCAAGGAAACAAACAAAGAGUGGCUCAUGUACUUUGACGGUGCCUUCUCGCUGCAAGGCGCCGGUGCUGGUGUGCUGCUCAUCGCACCCACCGGAGAGCACCUCAAGUACGUAGUCCAGAUGCACUUUCCCAAGGAGCAAGCGACAAACAAUACUGCAGAGUAUGAAGGCUUGCUUGCCGGCCUCAGGAUCACGGCAGAACUUGGGAUUAAGAAGCUCAUUGUCAGGGGUGACUCGCAGCUUUUCAUCCGCCAAGUAAACAAGAAUUAUCAGAGUCCGUUAAUGGAAGCUUAUGUUGACGAAUUGAGAAAGCUAGAAGAGCACUUUGACGGCCUGCAAAUGGAGCAUGUUCCAAGAGCUCAGAACGAUAUGGCCGAUGGCCUGUCAAAGUGCGCCGCACUUAAGUUACCUGUGGAACCAGGGAUUUUUGUGCUCAAGAUGACUCAACCGUCCGUAACGCCGCCAACUGGACAGAGCAAGAAGAGGAAGUUGAUUUCUGGUGACUAUUUUCUGGCAGAGCUUCCCGAAGCCGCCGCCAAAAAGGUCCCCAAGAUCAACACCAACAGUGCUGAGGAGUAGUCUGCUCCGGCAAGCCCCAGGGUUUGUUCCGUUGAAGCAGACGCUCCCGACAAGUUUUGCUCCGGCAAGCUUGCCGGGGACGUCAAGCUUCGGCAGAGCCACAGGCUCUUGCUGUAGAAGCGGAUGUUCCCGCAGCAGCAGGUGUGCCUUUAGUCCUUGUUGUCGCGCAACAGGCUCCAACAUGGGCACAGCAGAUUGUCUGUUUCCUUCAGACAGGAGAACUUCCCGAAGAACAAGAAGAAGCGGAAAAAGUAGCCCAGCAGUCUAGUAUGUACCAGUUUGUCGAUAACACACUGUGCAGAAGAAGACUCAACGGUGUGAAAUUGAAGUGUAUUCCCCGGGAAGAUGGACAAAAGCUGUUGGCAGAGAUACAUGGAGGCAUAUGUGGUCACCACAUUGGCGCAAGAGCACUUGUCGGCAAAGCAUUCCGGCAAGGUUUCUUCUGGCCGACAGCCCUCCAGGAUGCAACUGCACAAGUAACCAAGUGUGAAGCGUGCCAGUUCCAUUCCAAGCAGAUACACCAGCCAGCUCAAGCUCUCCAAAUGAUCCCUUUAUCCUGGCCAUUUUCGGUCUGGGGGCUCGACAUCCUCGGCCCCUUCCCCCGAGCUGUCGGGGGCUUUGAGUACUUGUACGUUGCGGUCGACAAGUUCACAAAGUGGCCGGAAGUGGAGCCAGUGAGGAAGGUGACAGCACAGUCAGCAGUCAAGUUCUUCAGGUCGAUUGUUUGCCAUUUCGGGAUCCCUAACAGGAUAAUCACCGACAAUGGUACGCAAUUUACGAGCCGCACCUUCAUGCAGUAUGUCCAAGAUCUUGGCGCCAAGGUCUGCUUCGCUUCUGUUGCUCACCCGAGAAGCAACGGUCAAGCGGAGAGGACAAAUGCUGAAGUGCUGCGCAGGCUCAAGACCAGAACUUUCGACAGGCUGCACAAGUGCGGAAGAAACUGGAUCGAGGAGCUGCCGGUGGUUCUUUGGUCGAUCAGGACGACGCCGAAUCGAGCCACUGGCCAGACACCCUUCGCUCUAGUCUAUGGAGCGGAGGCAGUUCUCCCACGGAACUCGUAUACGGGUCACCUCGAGUGCUCGCUUAUGAUGAGCUUGAGCAAGAGCAGCUGCGGCAAGAUGACGCGCUGCUCCUUGAGGAAGACCGUCUUCAGGCUGCUGUGCGAGCUGCUCGCUACCAGCAAGCUUUGCGCCGCUACCAUAGCCACAAAGUUAAUGCCAGAAGUCUCGAGGAAGGCGACCUUGUUUUUUGGCGCUUUCAGUCCGCCAAGAAUUCAAACAAGUUGACGCCGAAGUGGGAAGGCCCUUACCGGGUGAAGCGAGUCACUAGGCCUGGCGCUGUCCGCCUAGAGACCGAAGAUGGUGUACCAGUGAGCAACUCCUGGAAUAUUGAGCAUCUUUGCAAGUUUUACCCGUAGGGCGCGGUUGCCACCUUUUGUACAAGUCUUGCCGUUGUUGCAUGUAAUCCUUUGUACAAAGCCGGGCGCAGACCCCGUGCAUAAAAAUCAAGUGCUCAGCACACCUUGUCGAUUUUCAUGCUUUUUAUUAUUUGCGUGUGUUAUCUAACACUUUGUGCAGCACUUACACCCGGUGAGCAACAACGAGCAUUAAGGCUCCAUAGCUUUUUCUCCUUCUUCUUUUUUCUCUCAAGGAAAGGAAGGUUCUCUCGCGCACANNNNNNNNNNNNNNNNNNNNNNNNNNNNNNNNNNNNNNNNNNNNNNNNNNNNNNNNNNNNNNNNNNNNNNNNNNNNNNNNNNNNNNNNNNNNNNNNNNNNNNNNNNNNNNNNNNNNNNNNNNNNNNNNNNNNNNNNNNNNNNNNNNNNNNNNNNNNNNNNNNNNNNNNNNNNNNNNNNNNNNNNNNNNNNNNNNNNNNNNNNNNNNNNNNNNNNNNNNNNNNNNNNNNNNNNNNNNNNNNNNNNNNNNNNNNNNNNNNAGAAGAUACGGUAUGGACCAGGCGUCGUUCAAGAAGGUUUCACCUUGCCGGGAAGAAAACAACAGAAAAGAUAAGUUUGCCAAAUUUUGAGCAAUCAGAUUCUUAAAUUUAUAGAGUUAUACUCCUUGAACGACCGUCCUUUGUAUGGAAAACCUGUGCGCGGAGGAACCAACUCGUAGCUAGUUGCGCCCUUACUGUUGUUUUGAGUCCGCUCAACAACUUAAGUGAGCCACGACUAGCUCUACGACAAGGUUUCUUGUCGGCCGCGGCACCGCCAGCAGGCUACUGACGUUCCGCACUCAGCGCUCGCGGCAAAGGUACCCGCGCCGGCAAGUUCCCUAAAAGCGUAGGGUAAAAACAUACAAGGGAAGGAAUGUUGGGGAACGUAGCAGAAAUUCAAAAUUUUCCUACGUGUCACCAAGAUCUAUCUAUGGAGAAACUUGCAACGAGGGGAAGAAGAGUGCAUCUACAUACCCUUGUAGAUCGCUAAGCGGAAGCGUUCAAGAGAACGGGGUUGAUGGAGUCGUACUCGUCGUGAUCCAAAUCACCGAUGAUCCUAGCGCCGAACGGACGGCACCUCUGCGUUCAACACACGUACGGAGCAGCAACGUCUCCUCCUUCUUGAUCCAGCAAGGGGGAAGGAGAGGUUGAUGGAGAUCCAGCAGCACGACGGCGUGGUGGUGGAAGUAGCGGGAUUCCAACAGGGCUUCGCCAAGCGCUGCGGGAGGAGGGAGAUGUGUCACGGGAGGGAGAGGGAGGCGCCAGGGCUCAGGUGCGGCUGCCCUCCCUUCCCCGCACUAUAUAUAGGGCCAAGGGAGAGGGGGGGGCGCUACCUUGGCCCUUCCUCCAAGGAAGGGUGCGGCUAGGGAGGAGUCCCUCCUCCCCAAGGCACCUAGGAGGUGCCUUCCCCCUUUAGGACUCUUCCUUUCCUUAUCUCUUGGCGCAUGGGCCUCUUGGGGCUGGUGCCCUUGGCCCAUAUAGGCCAAGGCGCACACCCCUACAGCCCAUGUGGCCCCCGGGGCAGGUGGCCCCACCCGGUGGACCCCCGGGACCCUUCCGGUGGUCCCGGUACAAUACCGGUGACCCCGAAACUUGUCCCGAUGGCCGAAAUAGCACUUCCUAUAUAUAAUUCUUUACCUCUGGACCAUUCCGGAACUCCUCGUGACGUCCGGGAUCUCAUACGGGACUCCGAACAACUUUCGGGGUACCGCAUACUAAUAUCUCUAUAACCCUAGCGUCACCGAACCUUAAGUGUGUAGACCCUAUGGGUUCGGGAGACAUGCAGACAUGACCGAGAUGACUCCGGUCAAUAACCAACAGCGGGAUCUGGAUACCCAUGUUGGCUCCCACAUGUUCCACGAUGAUCUCAUCGGAUGAACCACGAUGUCGAGGAUUCGAUCAAUCCCAUAUACAAUUCCCUUUGUCUAUCGGUACGAUACUUGCCCGAGAUUCGAUCGUCGGUAUCCCGAUACCUUGUUCAAUCUCGUUAUCGGCAAGUCUCUUUACUCGUUCCAUAACAUAUCAUCCCGUGAUCAAUUCCUUGAUCACAUUGUGCACAUUAUGAUGAUGUCCUACCGAGUGGGCCCAGAGAUACCUCUCCGUCACACGGAGUGACAAAUCCCAGUCUCGAUUCGUGCCAACCCAACAGACACUUUCGGAGAUACCUGUAGUGUACCUUUAUAGCCUCCCAGUUACGUUGUGACGUUUGGCACACCCAAAGCACUCCUACGGUAUCCGGGAGUUGCACAAUCUCAUGGUCUAAGGAAAUGAUACUUGACAUUAGAAAAGCUUUAGCGAACGAACUACACGAUCUUUGUGCUAGGCUCAGGAUUGGGUCUUGUCCAUCACAUCAUUCUCCUAAUGAUGUGAUCCCAUUAUCAAUGACAUCCAAUGUCCAUGGUCAGGAAACCGUAACCAUCUAUUGACUAACGAGCUAGUUAACUAGAGGCUUACUAGGGACAUUGUGUUGUCUAUAUAUCCACACAUGUAUCUGAGUUUCCUAUCAAUACAAUUCUAGCAUGGAUAAUAAACGAUUAUCAUGAACAAUGAAAUAUAAUAAUAACCAAUUUAUUAUUGCCUCUAGGGCAUAUUUCCAACAGUCUCCCACUUGCACUAGAGUCAAUAAUCUAGUUCACAUCGCCAUGUGAUUAACACUCACAGUCACAUCGCCAUGUGAUUAACACCCAAGAGUUUACUAGAGUCAGAUCAUGUUGCUUGUGAGAGAGGUUUUAGUCAACGGGUCUGCAACAUUCAGAUCCGUAUGUACUUCGCAAAUUUCUAUGUCAUCUUCUAGAUGCGGCUACCACGUUCUAUUUGGAGCUAUUCCAAAUAAUUGUUCUACUAUACGAAUCCAAUUUACUACUCAGAAUAAUCUGGAUUAGUGUCAAAGUUUGCAUCGGCGUAACCCUUUACGACGAACUCUUUUACCACCUCCAUAAUCGAGAAAAUUCCUUAGUCCACUAGUUACUAAGGAUAACUUUGACCGCUGUCCUGUGAUCCAUUCUUGGAUCACUCUUGUACCCCCUGACUGACUCAUGGCAAGGCACACUUCAGGUGCGGCACACAGCAUAGCAUACCGUAUGGAGCCUAUGACAAAAGCAUAGGGGAUGACCUUCGUCCUUUCUCUCUAUUCUGCCGUGGUCGAGCUUUAAGUCUUAACUUCAUACCUUACAACUCAGGCAAGAACUCCUUCUUUGACUGAUCCAUCUUGAACACCUUCAAGAUCAUGUCAAGGUAUGUGCUCAUUUGAAAGUACCAUUAAGCGUUUUGAUCUAUCCUUAUAGAUCUUGAUGCUCAAUGUUCAAGUAGCUUAAUCCAGGCUUUCCAUUGAAAAAAAAAACACUUUCCAAAUAACCCUAUAUGCUUUCCAGAAAUUCUACGUCAUUUCUGAUCAACAAUAUGUCAACAACAUAUAUUCAUCAGAAAUUCUAUAGUGCUCCCACUCACUUCUUUGGAAAUACAAGUUUCUCAUAAACUUUGUAUACACCCAAAAACUUUGAUCAUCUCAUCAAAGCAUACAUUCGAACUCUGAGAUGCUUACUCCAGUCCUUAGAAGGAUAGCUGGAGCUUUGCACACUUGUUAGCAUCUUUCAGGAUUGACAAAACCUUCCGGUUUGUAUCAUAUACAAUCUUUCCUCAAAAAAACAUCGAGGAAAUAAUUUUUUGACAUCCUAUCUGCAAGAUUUCAUAAAUAAUGUAGUAAUCGCUAAUAUAAUUCCAACAGACUCAUAGCAUCGCUACGAGUGAGAAAGUCUCAUCAUAGUCAACUCCUUGAACUUGUCGGAAAACAUCUUAACGACAAGUCGAGCUUUCUUAAUGGUGACAUUUACCAUCAUUGUCCGUCUUCCUUUUAAAAUCCAUCUGUACUCAACAGCCUUACGACCAUCGAGCUGUUCUGUCAAAGUCUACACUUUGUUUCCAUACAUGGAUCCUCUCUCGGAUUUUAUGGCCUCGAGCCAUUUAUCGGAAUACGAGCCCACCAUCGCUUCUCCAUAGCUCGUAGGUUCAUUGUUGUCUAGCAACAUGACUUCCAAGACAGGAUUACGUACCAUUCUGAAGUAGUAUGCAUCCUUGUCAUCCCACGAGGUUUGGUAGUGACUUGAUCUGAAGUUUCAUGAUCACUAUCAUAAGCUUCCACUUCAAUUGGUGUAGGUGCCACAGGAACAACUCCCUGUGCCCUGCCACACACUAGUUGAAGAGACGGUUCAAUAACCUCAUCAAGUCUCCACCAUCCUCCCACUCAAUUCUCGAGACAAACCUUUUCCUCGAGAAAGAACCUGAUUCAAGAAACAAUCUCUUAUUGCUUUCGGAUCUGAGACAGGAGGUAUACCCAGCUGCUUUGGGUGUCCUAUGAAGAUGCAUUUAUCCGCUUUGGGUUCGAGCUUAUCAGACUAAAACUUUUUCACAUAAGCGUCGCAGCCCCAAACUUUUAAGAAAUGACAGCUUAGAUUUCUCUAAACCAUAGUUCAUACGGUGUCAUCUCAUCGGAAUUACGUGGUGCCCUAUUUAAAGUGAAUGUGGUUGUCUCUAACGCCUAACCCAUAAACUAUUGUGGUAAUUCGAUAAGAGACAUCAUGGUAUGCAUCAUAUCCAAUAGGGUGCAGUUAUGAUGUUCGGACACACCAUCACACUAUGGUGUUCUAGGCUGUAUUAGUUGUGAAACGAUUUCCACAAUGUCUUAAUUCUGUGCCAAACUCGUAAUUCAGAUAUUCAUCUCUAUGAUCAUAUCAUAGAUAUUUUAUCCUCUUGUCAUGACGAUCUUUCAACUUCACCCUGAAAUUACUUGAACCUUUCAAUAAUUCAGACUCGUGAUUCAUCAAGUAAAUGUACUCAAUAUCUACUCAAAUCAUUUGUGAAGUAAGAACAUAACGAUAUCCACUACAUGCCUCAGCACUUAUUGGACUGCACACAUCAAAAUGUAGUACUUCCAACAAGUUGCUUUCUAGUUCCAUUUUACUGAAAACGAGGCUUUCAGUCAUCUUGCCCAUGUGGUAUGAUUUGCAUGUCUCAAGUGAUUCAAAAUCAAGUGAGUCCAAACGAUCCAUCUAUAUAGAGUUUCUUCAUGCAUAUCUACCAACAAACAUGGUUCGCAUGUCUCAAUCCUUUCAAAAAUGAGUGAGUCCAAAGAUCCAUCAACAUGGAGCUUCUUCCUGCAUCUUAUACCGAUAUGACUUAAGUGGCAGUGCCACAAGUAGGUGGUACUAUCAUUACUAUCCUAUAUCUUUUGGCAUGAACAUGUGUAUCACUACGAUCGAGAUUCAAUAAACCAUUCAUUUUAGGUGUAAGACCAUUGAAGGUAUUAUUCAAAUAAACAGAGUAACCAUUAUUCUCCUUCAAUGAAUAACCGUAUUGCGAUAGACGUAAUCCAAUCAUGUCUAUGCUCAACGCAAACACCAAAUAACAAUUAUUCAGGUUUUAAUACCAAUCUUGAUGGUAGAGGGAGCGUACGAUAUUUGAUCAACCUUGGAAAUACUUCCAAUACAUAUCGUCAUCUCACCUUUAGCUAGUCUCCGUUUAUUCCGUAGCUUUUAUUUCGAGUUACUAACACUUAGCAACCGAACCGGUAUCUAAUACCCUGGUGCUACUAGGAGUACUAGUAAAGUAAACAUCAACACAACGUAUAUCCAAUAUACUUCUAUCGACCUUGUCUGCCUUCUCAUCUACCAAGUAUCUAGGGUAAUUUUGCUCCAGUGGCUGUUCCUCUUAUUACAGAAGCACUUAGUCUCGGGGUUUGGGUUCAACUUUGGGUUUCUUCACUAGAGCAGCAGCUGAUUUGCCGUUUCAUGAAGUAUCCCUUCUUGCCCUUGCCCUUCUUGAAACUAGUGGUUUCACCAACCAUCAACAAUUGAUGCUCCUUCUUGAUUUCUACUUUUGUGGUGUCAAACAUCGCGAAUAUCUCAAGGAACAUCAUAUAUGUCCCUGAUAUAUUAUAAUUCAUCACGAAGCUCUAGCAGCUUGGUGGUAAUGACUUCGGAGAAACAUCACUAUCUCAUCUGGAAGAUAAACUCCCACUUGAUUCAAGCGAUUGUUGUACUCAGACAAUCUGAGCACAAGCUCAACAAUUGAGCUUUUCUCCCUUAGUUUGCAGGCCAAGAAAAUCGUCGGAGGUCUUAUACCUCUUGACGUGGGCACGAGCCUGAAAUCCCAAUUUCAGCCCUCAAAACAUCUCAUAUGUUUCGCGACGUUUCAAAACGUCUUCGGUGCCUCAACUCUAAACCAUUUAACUGAACUAUCACGUAGUUAUCAAAAUGUGUAUGUCAGAUGUUCGCAACAUCCACAGACGACGUUCGAGGUUCAGCACACUGAGCGGUGCAUUAAGGACAUAAGCCUUCUAUGAAGCAAUGAGGACAAUCCUCAGUUUACGGACCUAGUCCGCAUAAUUGCUACUAUCAACUUUCAACUAAAUUUUCUCUAGGAACAUAUCUAAACAGUAGAACUAAAGCGUGUGCUACGACAUAAUUUGCGAAGACCUUUUGACUAUGUUCAGGAUAAUUAAGUUCAUCUUAUGAACUCCCACUCAGAUAGACAUCCCUCUAGUCAUCUAAGUGAUUACAUGAUCCGAGUCAACUAGGCCGUGUCCGAUCAUCACGUGAGACGGACUAGUCAACAUCGGUGAACAUCUUCAUGUUGAUCGUAUCUUCUAUACGACUCAUGCUCGACCUUUCGGUCUUCUGUGUUCUGAGGCCAUGUCUGUACACAUGCUAGGCUCGUCAAGUCAACCUAAGUGUUUCGCGUGUGUAAAUCUGUCUUACACCCGUUGUAUGUGAACGUUAGAAUCUAUCACACCCGAUCAUCACGUGGUGCUUCGAAACAACGAACUGUCGCAACGGUGCACAGUUAGGGGGAACACUUUCUUGAAAUUUUAACGAGGGAUCAUCUUAUUUACUACCGUCGUUCUAAGCAAAUAAGAUGUAUAAACAUGAUAAACAUCACAUGCAAUCAAAUAAUAGUGACAUGAUAUGGCCAAUAUCAUAUAGCUCCUUUGAUCUCCAUCUUGGGGCUCCAUGAUCAUCUUGUCACCGGCAUGACACCAUGAUCUCCAUCAUCGUGUCUCCAUGAAGUUGCUCGCCAACUAUUACUUCUACUACUACAGCUAACGAUUAGCAAUAAAGUAAAGUAAUUACAUGGCGUUGUUCAAUGACACGCAGGUCAUACAAUAAAUAAAGACAACUCCUAUGGCUCCUGCCGGUUGUCAUACUCAUCGACAUGCAAGUCGUGAUUCCUAUUACAAGAACAUGAUCAAUCUCAUACAUCACAUAUAUCAUUCAUCACAUCCUUUUGGCCAUAUCACAUCACAUGGCAUACCCUGCAAAAACAAGUUAGACGUCCUCUAAUUGUUGUUUGCAUGUUUUACGUGGCUGCUAUGGAUUUCGAGCAAGAAAGUUUCUUACCUACGCAAAACCACAACGUGAUAUGCCAAUUGCUAUUUACCCUUCAUAAGGACCCUUUUCAUCGAAUCCGUUUCGACUAAAGUGGGAGAGACAGACACCCGCCAGCCACCUUAUGCAACUAGUGCAUGUUAGUCGGUGGAACCGGUCUCACGUAAGCGUACGUGUAAGGUUGGUCCGGGCCGCUUCAUCCCACAAUGCCGUCGAAACAAGAUUGGACUAGUAACGGUAAGCAUAUUGAACAAGAUCAACGCCCACAACUACUUUGUGUUCUACUCGUGCAUAGUAACUACGCAUAGACCUAGCUCAUGAUGCCACUGUUGGGGAACGUAGCAGAAAUUCAAAAUUUUCCUACGUGUCACCAAGAUCUAUCUAUGGAGAAACUAGCAACGAGGGGAAGAAGAGUUCAUCUACAUACCCUUGUAGAUCGCUAAGCGGAAGCGUUCAAGAGAACGGGGUUGAUGGAGUCGUACUCGUCGUGAUCCAAAUCACCGAUGAUCCUAGCGCCGAACGGACGGCACCUCCGCGUUCAACACACGUACGGAGCAGGGACGUCUCCUCCUUCUUGAUCCAGCAAGGGGGAAGGAGAGGUUGAUGGAGAUCCAGCAGCACGACGGCGUGGUGGUGGAAGUAGCGGGAUUCCAACAGGGCUUCGCCAAGCGCUGCGGGAGGAGGGAGGUGUGUCACGGGAGGGAGAGGGAGGCGCCAGGGCUCAGGUGCGGCUGCCCUCCCUUCCCCCCACUAUAUAUAGGGCCAAGGGAGAGGGGGGCGCAGCCUUGGCCCUUCCUUCAAGGAAGGGUGCGGCUAGGGAGGAGUCCCUCCUCCCCAAGGCACCUAGGAGGUGCCUUCCCCCUUUAGGACUCUUCCUUUCCUUAUCUCUUGGCGCAUGGGCCUCUUGGGGCUGGUGCCCUUGGCCCAUAUAGGCCAAGGCGCACACCCCUACAGCCCAUGUGCCCCCCCGGGGCAGGUGGCCCCACCUGGUGGACCCCCGGGACCCUUCCGGUGGUCCCGGUACAAUACCGGUGACCCCGAAACUUGUCCCGAUGGCCGAAAUAGCACUUCCUAUAUAUAAUUCUUUACCUCCGGACCAUUUCGGAACUCCUCGUGACGUCCGGGAUCUCAUCCGGGACUCCGAACAACUUUCGGGUUACCGCAUACUAAUAUCUCUAUAACCCUAGCGUCACCGAACCUUAAGUGCGUAGACCCUAUGGGUUCGGGAGACAUGCAGACAUGACCGAGAUGACUCCGGUCAAUAACCAACAGCGGGAUCUGGAUACCCAUGUUGGCUCCCACAUGUUCCACGAUGAUCUCAUCGGAUGAACCAUGAUGUCGAGGAUUCGAUCAAUCCCGUAUACAAUUCCCUUUGUCUAUCGGUACGAUACUUGCCCGAGAUUCGAUCGUCUGUAUCCCGAUACCUUGUUCAAUCUCGUUGCCGGCAAGUCUCUUUACUCGUUCCAUAACACAUCAUCCCGUGAUCAACUCCUUGAUCACAUUGUGCACAUUAUGAUGAUGUCCUACCGAGUGGGCCCAGAGAUACAUCUUCGUCACACGGAGUGACAAAUCCCAGUCUCGAUUCGUGCCAACCCAACAGACACUUUCGGAGAUACCUGUAGUGUACCUUUAUAGCCACCCAGUUACGUUGUGACGUUUGGCACACCCAAAGCACUCCUACGGUAUCCGGGAGUUGCACAAUCUCAUGGUCUAAGGAAAUGAUACUUGACAUUAGAAAAGCUUUAGCGAACGAACUACACGAUCUUUGUGCUAGGCUCAGGAUUGGGUCUUGUCCAUCACAUCAUUCUCCUAAUGAUGUGAUCCCAUUAUCAAUGACAUCCAAUGUCCAUGGUCAGGAAACCGUAACCAUCUAUUGAUCAACGAGCUAGUUAACUAGAGGCUUACUAGGGACAUGGUGUUGUCUAUAUAUCCACACAUGUAUCUGAGUUUCCUAUCAAUACAUUCUAGCAUGGAUAAUAAACGAUUAUCAUGAACAAUGAAAUAUAAUAAUAACCAAUUUAUUAUUGCCUCUAGGGCAUAUUUCCAACAAGGAAUAAAGUAAAGGAAAUAACAUUGCAAUCGUAGCACAGGAUAAAGUAUAUUACAAAAUAACUUGUCGCAGCUCUAACAGACUGUUUUUCGUAACAUGAUUAACAGCGACAAGGAAAGAAGGGAAUAGGCGGCCUAGUCUACGCGAUCGCCCUCGACUCUCUUGAUGCCGCUCACCCUGUCCACGAUAGGUGCGACAAGGGCCUUGAGCUCCUCCAGAUCAGCAUCUGGCGGCAAGCUUCGGAGGACGUUGGUGAGGCGGAGGCCUGGGUUGCGGAAGGCCACCUUCAUCAGCACCUUCUGGAGAGCUCCCACGCAAAUCUUGCCCGACUCGUCGGCAAGCUGCUUUGGGAUUUGCUCCCGGAGUCGCUGAAGCGCCGUCGCCACGCCUUUGAAGAACAGAGUAAGCUUGGCGCUAGGUUGGAGGUUCUCGUCGGAGGAGUACCCGAGAUCCACCAUCCCCAAUUGCGCCAACUCCUUGUCGACAUCUGCGGCCACGUUCACCAGACCCUCCGUCCAGUGCUCCACGUUCUCCGACAAGGUCUUCUGGGCAGCAGCAGCGCUCGCCAGCAGCACCUUGCCGGCCUCGACUUCCUCCUUGGCACCGUCUAGAGAUUUCGUUAGAGCCGCCAGCUUCACUUCGAGAUCAGCGUUGGAAUUCUUGGCAGCGUCAAGUUCCUUGUCCUUCUCGGCAAGAUGGGCCUGCAGCUCCGAGUAGCUGUUGGCGUCCCUCUCCCGCUCAAGCUUGAGCGCGGCAAGCUCGUCGCCGUUCGCCUUAAGACUCGCCUCCAGCUGCACCACCUUCACCUCCAGCUCGUUCUUGGCGGCCUCGGCAGCUGCGGUGGCGUCUUCGGCUUGUUUGAGGGCCCCGCCAACGGCCCGCUCACGCGCGGCAAGCUCUUCCUCGUGGCUGUCGAGGUUGACCUUCCGCUGCGCCAAGUCACCCUCCUGCGAAGACAAUUUCUCCGCGGCAAGCCGUUGGCGCUCUUCGACGUCGGCCUUCUUAAGGAGGAAGGCCUGCUGCGCUUCGGCAAGUUGCUCCCGCUCCUUUGCCAGGGAGCGGAGAGCUUCCUGGUUGGCGCCCCGGAGCUCCUCUGCGCGCUUCUUGAUGUCGGCUCCCGCCUUCGCGACGAGUGCUUCGCGGGACUCCAGCUUGGCUUGCCGGGCGCGGUAGAGCGCCACGAGCUUCCGCAACUGACGCUCCUCUUCGGGUUUGCUACUGCUGCUGCUUGGCGCGUCGACCAGCUUCAGCCCGGCGGAGGCAAGCACCUCUCCGUCAAGCAUCCCUCCCUCGACCGGCGCCCUGGAGCUCGACGCCCAGGGGAGGUUGAUGAAGAUGUCGUCGCCGGCCUUCAGGUAGACGCCAGGCUGGGGCUCUUCGGAGCCUGGCGCGGCAGCAGCGGCGAGGGAGUUGGUGGUCGGAGCAGCGCCUGGCGCUCCUGCAGCCUCCGGGUCGUCAGUACGACCGCCAGACUCCCCGCCCGCUUCUGCGGCAGCAGCCCUGGCGGCCUCCUCACCGGCGUCGGCUGCUUCCUCAGCGGCAAUAGCGUCGUCGGCGGCGACUUCAGUCUCCAUCGGCUCUGCAGUAGAUGGUCUGACAGCCGGAAGAGGGGAGAAGAUUCAAGCAAAAUUCGAGCAAAAUCCAAAAAGAAGAUCAGAAGAUGAAGAAGCCAAGGGGAGUUUGAAACAAGGAAGUUACCUGUGCCAGGGUCUGCAGCGGUGGUCUCCGUCGCCGGGGGAUCGCUGACGCAGUCCCUUGCCGGAGAUCCCUCCCUUGCCGGGGGCUCCUCCCUUGCCGGAGACUCCUCCCUUGCCGGGGGCUCCUCCCUAGCCGGAGUCUCCUCCCCUGCCGGAGAGCGCUCCCUUGCCGGGGACCUCUCCCUUGCCGGAGGACUCUCCCUUGGCGCUUCAGGGGCGGCCUCCAGGCUCUCCUGUUGAGGCUGCUCUGCUCCUACACAAUUCAACAAUUGGAUAUCAGCUAAGCAAUGAAUUUCCACGCGCGCCCGACAGAGGAAAGCAAGAGAAGAUACUUACGCUGGGGGCUGCUCUGGAGAGCAGUUGCCGGGUCCGGCGAGGUUGUCUCGGGCGCGUCCCCUGCCGACGCGGUGGGCUCGUCCUCGAUGACAAUCACCGGGGCCUUGGCUCUCUUUGCUGCCCUCUGAGCCAGAGUCCUGAAAAGGAACAGAUUCAGAGAAAGGCAAGUGAGAAACAAGAAAAGACAAAAACAACAAAAAUUGAAGAACUGCAAGAACAAACAUGAGAAACUUACUCUUCUUCCUCUUCCUCGUUGGAGCUGAACACGGAGAAGUCGAAGUCCGGCUCGCGUCCGGCGCGGGAAGGGGGAGGAGUAGGCUCCCUUGGCCGCUUGGCAGGGGCGGAGGCAGCGGUCCGAGAAGACCCUGCUCCAGUUGUUGCGGCAGCGUGGGGCGCUCCCGCGGCAACAGUGCUUGCCGCGGUGGAGCGUGUCGCGCGGCACAGCGACUGUCGGCGUGCUUGCCGCCUCGCUGCAUCCCCGACCUUGCGGAGAUGCCUUCUUGGUGGAGACGGAGGCGCUGCUGGCGGCGUGCUGUCUGAGGACGAAGUGGAGGAGGAGCCGAUCUCCAAUGAGUCGCUCGCAUCCUCGGCAGGCCCGCUCGGUUCGGCGUCAUGCCCGGCAGCCUGGCUCGGUUUGGCAUCGCGCCCGGCAACCUCCUUCCUGCCGGCAAGCUCCUUCUUGCCGGCAAGAUCUUCUCGCUCGGCACGGUUUGCUGCCUCUGCUGCCGCUGCCUCCUCCAAGGUAAAGCCAAACUCGCCUGCCGCCGUGGCUGCCGCUGCCUCUUCCAGCCUAGUGGCGAUGCGCUUCAACUCCGCCUCGAUGGUGUCAUGGGUGAGGCCGUCCUUCUUGUCGGCACGGAUUGGCACUUCCACCAUGGUGUCGAAGAACUGUUGCACGACGUCGUCUUCUGGCUCCUGCCAAGUUGGCACGAUUCUGUGCGAAUCGCACAGCGGCAUCAUUGCCCUGAUGCGGUCAAGCGCAGAAUUGUUGCAUAGCGGGACGACGCCCUGCGGCAACCUGAAGACUUCUGGGUGGUCAGGAUCAUACUUGAAGAGCUCCUGCAGCAUUGCGUUGAGCUCCAAGACAGUGAAAUUAUAGUUUAGCCCCGGGCGCAGCCUCAUGAUGUCUGCCGCGUUCUUGAACUCCCAAGCAGGCCUUCUCCGUUCUUGCAGGGGGGCGAUGCGGCGGCGAAGGAAGUCUGCGCCAACGGCACCGACGGUGAGUCUGGCAAGCCUGAGGCGUUGGAUCCUGGUGACGGCAAUCCUCAGCCUGCUGUCCUCCGGGGCCACGUCACUCCAGUCGCUGCCGCGUACUGCUGCUACUUGGUGCCGGGCGGUGAACGGCUGCGGGCUCUCCUCGACAAUCCAGCACCAAUCUGCCCUCCACUCCUCCCACUUGCUGCGGAACUCGCCCUCUAAAUAAGAAUCCUUCUUUCCGGUCCUAGAGACCCAGGCGAUUCCGCCGUACAAGGGCUCUCCUCUCUCUACCCGGGGAAUGAAGAAAUGGCGGAAAAGGGCUACAUUAGGGUGGACUCCGACAAAGUUUUCGCAAAGGUGUGCGAAAACUGCCAUGGUAAGGACGGCAUUGGGAGUGAACUCAAGGAGGCAGAGGUUGUAGGUAUUCAUGAUAUCACAGAAGAAUUCGGAAAAGGGCGGGCAGAGCCCGCAGUAGAAGAAGACAGCGAAAAAGGGAUAUCCUUGCGGAGCAGUCUUGUGAGCAGCAGCUGGGAGUACCUUAGUGCUCGGGUGAGCUCGCGUCUCCGUCGACCAGAACAGGUAAUAGUACUCCCUCAGCUCCUUCGUGGUGAGCUUGGGGGGGGGGGAGAUGGCUCACUCCAUCCGCAGCGCCGCAAGCCGCUGCGCCUCGGACGACUUCACGGCUUUCCCCUUGUCGGCUUUCGGAGCCAUGGCGGAAGCAGCNNNNNNNNNNNNNNNNNNNNNNNNNNNNNNNNNNNNNNNNNNNNNNNNNNNNNNNNNNNNNNNNNNNNNNNNNNNNNNNNNNNNNNNNNNNNNNNNNNNNNNNNNNNNNNNNNNNNNNNNNNNNNNNNNNNNNNNNNNNNNNNNNNNNNNNNNNNNNNNNNNNNNNNNNNNNNNNNNNNNNNNNNNNNNNNNNNNNNNNNNNNNNNNNNNNNNNNNNNNNNNNNNNNNNNNNNNNNNNNNNNNNNNNNNNNNNNNNNNNNNNNNNNNNNNNNNNNNNNNGCUCUGUUUGCUUUGGGAAGACGGAGGCAGGGCGGAUAUUUUCAAGAUUGGAACGGAAAGGGGGCGAGUGGGCGCACUACCCCUGCUUCCCCUUGCUUAUAAAGGGGGAGUGGGCGGACGUUCCGCCUUUCCAAAUAAAGCAACCACCCACGAUCUCUCCCACGAUGCCGCGUUCGACGCGUGCCGUGCGGGGAGGGCGCGGUGGAUACGGAGUGAGCUACGGCGUAACCUAGGACGCGCGUACCCGUGCCCUGUUUUGGGCCAGGCCCAACAGCGCUCGGCUCCGUGUAUGGCCCAGGCCCGGGGGCUCCUGUCGGUGUACUAAAGUAGGGGUACCUUUAGUAUCCCGAACUUGUGCACGGGCAGUCGCAACGUCCCGCGACAAGGCUUGCCAGGCGACUGCCAAGAUCCUCCGUGGUUCCUUUGGAGCCAUUCAAGAACAAAGUAUCCAAGCCAAAGAGACAAGGCCCCGGCAAGAGGAGCUUGCCGGGAAGGAGACAAGACCCCGGCAAGAGGAGCUUGCCGGGAAGGCCAACCAAGGCAUCUCAAGGAACUUGCCGCAGCACACCAUGUGUCCCGGCAAGACCCAGUGAGCGACAAACUCCUGGACGCGACAAGGCAAUAACAGCGGCAAGGCGCUUGCCGCGGCAAGCUUCCAUCCUGUACCUGCGCUCCAGCACAUCCACCAACAUGUCGCUCUAGGACCCUUCCAGGCGUACGUGGCGGAAGGCUGUGCAGCCAGAGGUACACGGUGGCGAGCGGCGCUGACAAGAUAGCCAUCGUGGCAAGCAAUGGCGUCCCUGGCGGUCCCUUUCUGUACCGUCUAGGCGACGCAGACAGGCAUUUAAUGCCUUUGUCCCCUGCCGCUUAGGUUAGGUAUGAUAAUACUGUAGUAGGUAGUGGUGCCAACCACCACGUCGUUUCCAUUUUUACCCUCAUCUAUGUUGCCACCUGUCGGUGACCGAUUUUACAUAUAAAAGGAGGCCCAUGCGCAACGUAGGGGGGGGACGAUUCUCUCUCACACUCGGUCUGGCUAGCUGCUGGGGUGUACUGUAGCAAUCAGCGCUCCCGAGCAAGAACUCAAUACAACCACAAAGCAGGGGUAGGAUUUUACGCAUCCAUGCGGCCCGAACCUGGGUAAACCGAUCGUGUUGCUCGUGCGCUUCGCCUCGAUCUGCUCUUCGUGCACUCUCCGCCCCCUGCCGAACCGAAAGGGGCCUCGGUCCGCCGUGGUCCCAUAGGUGUCCGUGGGAUCAGCACCCCCGAC